Long non-coding RNA from Gekko japonicus, 448 nucleotides. RefSeq lists it as uncharacterized. NCBI's taxonomy places the organism in Eukaryota, Metazoa, Chordata, Lepidosauria, Squamata, Gekkonidae. The record is from RefSeq and is a predicted model, not a curated record. The transcript has 5 exons.
CAAAAGUGAGGAGACACUCCUAGCAGAAUAUCAAAAUGCCAGUUCAGUGACUAGAAGCUUCUAACAGUGAGGCGAUGGUCCAGUCCUGGUCUUAAGAGGGUAUUGAGGAAAUGUAAGCCCAGAAGGAAAAUUUACAGCAAGACCCCAAGCCUUUGAGUAGGAGAGAGGCUGCUCCAAGGUGGACUGUCCGUGGGCCAAAGAUGGAGGAGAAUCAGCAAAGGAUCACAAGUUUCCAGGCAAGAUAUUGGAGGUUCUUUGGGCCUGUGUUUGUUGAUUCAUGCUUGGCUGCUGUCAGUGCUAUGGAUUUGCCUCUUAGUACGGCUUUAGAGGCUUCCCAAACCAUAGUGCUAGAUACCACACAAUGUUGAGUUAAUUGGAAGUACUCUUCUAUCUCUUUUUGGAGUUCAUGUCUCGUGUGUUAUUGGGUCAAUCAAUAAAUUUUUGUUAA